UGGUGAGAGCUGGUGGGUAAUSGAAAGUCACGAGUUGGCCUUGGUGCUUGACUYAUKGUGUCUUUGGCUUGAYGGCAAAGGCCUCRUAGGCUGCCUCCCGAGUGGGGACUCCGAUUUYAUUUGUGGUUAGGCCACAUCGGGGAAACUGCGACAACGUCCUCAUCUAAUAGUUUGUUGACRCAAUCACGCCGAAAGGCUAUUGGAUUGCAGAGAACGACCUAGAUNCAGGGCGGAUCAUGCUAGUCAUGAUCAACUUAGGAUUGCGCUGAUUGCUGGAUGGCUGGACGAGGGCGAGGACAUCGUUUUCGUAAGAUUGACGUGUGUCUUUUUCCGACCGCUUAAAGCGAUUGUAAGWCGCAUUYCGAGUGGGGACUUCGAUUYCAUUUGUGGUCAGGCCACAUCGGGGAAACUGCGGAAACGUGCUAAUCUAAUCGUUUGUAGACGCAAUCUCGUCGAAAGGCUACUYGAUUGYUGAGAAUGUCCCUAGAUCAGACCGGUUAUGAUGGUAUAUGUGAUCAUGCUUGCCAUGAUCAACUUAGGAUUGCRCUGAUUGCUGGAUGGCUGGACGAGGGCGRGGACAAUGAUUUCGUAAGAUUGACGUGUCUUUUUCCGACCGCCUAAAGYGAUCGUAAGCCGCCUUYCGAGUGGGGACUUCGAUUUUAUUUGUGGUCAGGCCACAUCGGRGAAACUGCGAAAACGUGCUGAUCUAAUYGUUUGUAGACACAAUCUUGUCGAAAGGCUACCCGAUUGUUGAGAACGWCCCUAGAUCAGAYCGGUUAUGAUGGUAUACGUGAUCACGAUCAUGCUUGUCAUGAUCAACUUAGGAGUGCGCUGAUUGCUGGAUGGCUGGACGAGGGCGAGGACACCGAUUUCGUAAGAUUGAUGUGUCUUUUWCCGACCGCCUAAAGCRACCGUAAGCCGCCUUYCGAGUGGGGACUUUCUUGYGGCUUUGGCUGUAGGGGGGGAACURCGUCACUGAGUYGAUUUGGUGUUUGUUGCGUUUYUUGUCGCAYUGGCCUUGUGCUGGAGUGACUUGAUUGUUGGCAAAGACCUCAUYGGUCCUCGGGUUGGUAUGAAUUUUUGUUCUUCGUAUCGUGCGGUGCAUUUUGGGGUCGUUCUUGGCUUUUGGUUGUUYGCUUGGCUUUUYAGCCUYGCAGGUGGCURUUUGCUGGGGYGGCUUCGGGGAUGUUUAUCGUAAAGGUGCAUGAGUGGUGUUUGGUUUGAUACGGGUGGUCGGCUCCCUGCUUGAGCAGGCACGACCAUGCGUACUUUCCUUUUCAGUUGUGCGACAAGGCUUGUAUCGCCUUGAUCGUAUAUGCGGGUUUCAUGUGUUGCAUACCUGAUCAAUGGCAUCRUCUUGAUMAAAAAAAGUCCCUUUUUCGUUGAGCGUUGCACUCGUGACGUYGGAYGAACCAAGUAGCACCCUCUUUGUUCCAUCCCGUCGAUGAGCAUUCGUUGACUGUUUGGCCCAUUGAGGGAUGCUUGGUCUCUUGGAUAUAGAAGCCAAAGUGGGCAUGGGUUCRUAUGAUCCCUUUGUUGCCUAUUUCGUUGAGCGUUCUCGCUUCUCUUAAACGACCGCCUUUCACGUAUGGCAYGUCCCAGCUUGUUUGGCUAAGUCGAAGAGGAAUGC
RNAcentral lists this unclassified non-coding RNA (1630 nucleotides) under Oritrophium peruvianum. RNAcentral's name for it is "external transcribed spacer". The record is from RNAcentral. Lineage: Eukaryota; Viridiplantae; Streptophyta; Magnoliopsida; Asterales; Asteraceae.